Molecule: unclassified non-coding RNA, 200 nt
Filed under: Herpotrichiellaceae sp.
Lineage: Eukaryota; Fungi; Ascomycota; Eurotiomycetes; Chaetothyriales; Herpotrichiellaceae
Description: partial internal transcribed spacer 2
Source: RNAcentral
UUAAGUUCAGCGGGUAUUCCUACCUGAUCCGAGGUCAACCUUAGAAAAUUGGUUAAAAAGACCGGGUUAAAAGGUCCGACUAAACGCGUGCUAAUGAAAGCUCGUUGCAUCUAGGGUCCAAAUAACGCCGUCAUUAUCUUUAGGGCCUGUCGGUUUCAACGACAAGAGACCCAACAGCAAGCCAGGCUUGAUUAGUGAUA